This 477-nucleotide ribosomal RNA is filed under the name uncultured Planctomycetota bacterium. RNAcentral's name for it is "bacterial SSU rRNA". It matches the Rfam family "Bacterial small subunit ribosomal RNA", at positions 365 to 832 of the family's 1533-position model. The record is from RNAcentral. Lineage: Bacteria; Pseudomonadati; Planctomycetota.
UUCGCAAUGCCCGAAAGGGUGACGAAGCGACGCCGUGUGUGGGAAGAAGGCCUUCGGGUUGUAAACCACUGUCGGGAGUUAAGAAAUGUAAGGAUGUUAAUAGCGUCCUUACUUGACUAAGGCUCCAGAGGAAGCCACGGCUAACUCUGUGCCAGCAGCCGCGGUAAUACAGAGGCGGCAAGCGUUGUUCGGAAUUAUUGGGCGUAAAGAGCACGUAGGCGGCUUUGCAAGUCAGUUGUGAAAGCCUUCCGCUUAACGGAAGAACAGCAGCUGAUACUACAGAGCUUGAGUACGGGAGGGGAGAGUGGAACUUCCGGUGGAGCGGUGAAAUGCGUAGAUAUCAGAAGGAACGCCGGCGGCGAAAGCGAUUCUCUGGUCCGAAACUGACGCUGAGUGUGCGAAAGCUAGGGGAUCAAACGGGAUUAGAUACCCCGGCAGUCCUAGCCGUAAACGAUGGGCACUAAGUAGAGGGGUUUU